Citrus sinensis (sweet orange) is the source of this 80-nucleotide non-coding RNA. The record is from Rfam. Lineage: Eukaryota; Viridiplantae; Streptophyta; Magnoliopsida; Sapindales; Rutaceae.
AUAUCAUGUGAUGAGGAAUUAACUGCAACAAAAUGAUCGAUUAUCAUCGUGAUUACCGUGUAUUUAAGUCUCUGAUGAUU